UUUCUGGUGGCUCAGUGGUAAAGAACCUGCUUGUCAAUGAAGGAGACACAGGUUCAAUCCCUGACCAGGAAG
RNAcentral lists this transfer RNA (72 nucleotides) under Bos taurus (domestic cattle). It matches the Rfam family "tRNA". Rfam says of the family: Transfer RNA (tRNA) molecules are approximately 80 nucleotides in length. Their secondary structure includes four short double-helical elements and three loops (D, anti-codon, and T loops). Further hydrogen bonds mediate the characteristic L-shaped molecular structure. tRNAs have two regions of fundamental functional importance: the anti-codon, which is responsible for specific mRNA codon recognition, and the 3' end, to which the tRNAs corresponding amino acid is attached (by aminoacyl-tRNA synthetases). tRNAs cope with the degeneracy of the genetic code in two manners: having more than one tRNA (with a specific anti-codon) for a particular amino acid; and 'wobble' base-pairing, i.e. permitting non-standard base-pairing at the 3rd anti-codon position. Lineage: Eukaryota; Metazoa; Chordata; Mammalia; Artiodactyla; Bovidae. The record is from Rfam by way of RNAcentral. RNAcentral also lists the same sequence under 5 other names.